UAAGCGAGGGGCUGGCGCUGGGGCGGCUUCUCCCGGGGCGUGCCCGGACCUGCCCGAGCGCCUCGUCUCGUCCCCGUAGGUCUAGGAGGUCGUGCCCGUGGUGGGUUCAGACGCUGGUUUCGAGACCGCUGCGCCCAGGCUGCUCGUGGGAGCAGCGUCCGUGCUAUGCUCGUUUUCGGGUGAAUUCUGGAAACGUUGGAACUUUGAUGUUGCUUUCAGCUCUUCGUCAGUGUCCUCUGGCCGCGUUUCGCAGAAACCCAGCAGGAUGGCCGCAAACAAGAGCAAGAGCCAGAGCUCCCUGGCCAUUCACAAGGGUCUAUGGGUGAUUGAAACAGACAUAGAACCAAAUCCAGCCCUCAAGAAUCUUCCAAGACUGAUGAGGGCAAUACUCAGCAGAUGUAUACUUCAUCGUUCUGCAAACUGGUUCCUGACUAUAAUUCCAAUGUGAUGUUUACAAUAGCCAUUUGUGGAGAUGAAGAAUGCAUUUUAGGUAAAAGAAGUUCCUUGAUUGUUAUACAUUUAUGUAGUGUUAUCAACACAAAACCAUAUAAUCUUGCUUCUAAGAUUAUAGCAUAGUUAGAAGCUUUAUACUAUUAUUCAUCGCUUUUGAAAAGUUGGCUCAUGUAUUUCAAGCAAUACCUAAUACCAAUCCCUAAAAUUUUAGUGUCAUAUAUCUACAACAGAGUUGUCAAAUGUUGACCUGCUAAAUAUAACUAGGUCAGGAACCAUGUCAAAGUAUACUACUCUUUGACUACACCCAAUAAAAUCUUAAAAAUAACUUACGAUCUUUUUAAUAACAAUAGCUUUGAUCAAUUUUAAGUAAAUUAAGUAAGAUUAUUAUACCUAUUGAAUGCUUAUUCACAUAUAGGCAACAUAAGCAGUGUCUAAUUUAUCAAGGGGCAAAAGAACAUACAUUUAUAUCAUUAGAUUACAAAUAAUUUUUUUCAAUCCAUAUGGCUGAAAAUUUCUUUUAUUAAUUUUUAUUGGCGUAUGGUUGCUUUACAAUGUUGUGUUAACCUCCACUACACAUGGAUUACAAAUAAAUUUAAUAGAGAAUGUAUUUUUCAUUAACUUAACACUUUUGCAUUUUCUCUAUGUAUUACAUUCUUUUGACUUGCUUGCAUUAAGUUCAGAUACCUUUGCUGAUAUUAAAUUCAGCAGCCAUAAGGAUAAUAUCGGAAUGAGAAGCAGAAUAUCAAAAAUUUAGUUUUUAUAUUUUUCUUUUCAUCUGAAGUGUUUAAUGUUACAGACAGAUACAUAGAUGCAUUAGUAAAAGCAGUACAAAAGCUAAUUUUAAACACAGAAAAUCCAUUGCAUUACAUAAUAAGCAUCAACAGAAUUAAUAGAUGAAUAAACUUUUGUUCUGGAAGGUUAACUGUUCCCAUGUAGUUAGAUUGCUCUUAAUAUUAUUACACAGCUAAAGAUGAUAUCUUGCCAAAAGUGGUAUUAACCAAUUUAUACUUGGUAUGUAGGUGUUUGGCCACAUCCAUAAAAAGUAACAGAUUUACAAGUGUUCUUAUUGAUUUGCAAAUUCAACAGCCAAGUGGUAAUUCACAUUAGGUCUAAUAAAAAACACAGUUUUUUGGCUGCCAGUAGGAGCAAAAAUCCAUGUGCUCAAAUUUUACCUUUUUAAAAAAAAAAAUUUUAUAAUUUAUCAAAGUCAUACACUUAAGUUACAAAUGCCUUUUUAGGAUCUUAAUGAGUUUCAUAAAAUAUUACAAUUUAUUCCAUUAUUCAUUAUUUAUAAAUCUUAUAUAACUAUUUUCAUAUUCAAGUUGUUUGAAGGCCUAUUUACUGUUAAUAUUUGUAUACAUCUUAUAAUUCUAUAAAUGUGAACAAAUGGCAAAAUUUAAAUAGUCAAACAAGGCCUGAAACUUAAGGAUCCUAUAUAAUUCAAAUUUUUUUUUCCUUAUUGUAAAUUAGCUUGUUAAAUUAUGUUGUAUUUUAGGACAAAGAUAAAAUCAGAAUAGUUAGUGGUGUGUGAGAAAAGUUGUUCUAAGCUAUGUAUGAUGGAGUGAAGAAAUAGAUAUAAAGAUAACCAGAGAUAGAUCAGAGAGAAGAAAAAAAAGGAAUUAGGUUAAGUUUACAAGAGUAAGUGAUUUAGUAAUCCCAAAACUGAAAAGUAUGCCCAGCAUGUUUCUGUACAUGGACAUUAAAGAAAGCCCAACAACAUUCAUAUUACAGUACAAUGACUGGAGUGGAGUUUUCACCUGAAUGUGAGUUGUCACAUAAGAGUUAGUUACUAUAGCUUCAGUAUCUAAGAGUGAUGAUAAAAUUAAGUCUCAAGCUAAGGUAAUGAUAUGUAGAACCAAAUGUUGAAAUAAACAUGAAGAAUUAGACCAGAGAGAUAAUCUACUUCCAAAUGUUGGAGACCAGGACUUUCAUAAUUGAGAAUAUUUAAAUUGCUUUAUAUAGUUUGUAUUUAUAAAUAUACAGUAGAAGACAGAGGUUUUCUCUUUAAAUGGUUGGUUUAUGUUGGAUACCUGAAAAUCCAUUACCCUAGAGGAGCUCUAAGUUAUCUUUCUACAGUAGCAUCUGAGCAGUGAGAGUGCCUGGGUUGCCCUAUCCAGGGGUGUAACUUAUAGUUUAUCAUAUCAUCUAUCCUAGAUAUUUAUAUUAUCAUAUAUGUUUGAUAAUAUUCUAGAAAAUUAGAAGGAAACAUACAUGGAAUCAAGUGAAGUAUUAGAGUAAGUUGUUCUGAUUUAUUGAGAAUAAUCUUUAUGCAAAUUAAAGUGAUCAUAGAACCAGAAUUACCAAACUCCUACUCACAAAACCUGCAUUAAUUCAGUUUUUUUUUCUACUGAAACUGUUUUUCAACUCUGUUACAAUCAUUUUGCACAAUCUUUUGUAAAAUUUUAAAGACAUUCUAAGGGUAAGAUUAUAAGUAUUUUAAGAUUAUUCAACACUGUAGAAACCAAUAUUCAGUGAUGUGAGAGAAAAAUUGUUAUAAUUUUCAGGAGAUGAAAAGAUUGAUUAAAAUAGGAAAAAGUACAACAAAGAAUCUUGAUUCAUUCUUGAUUGAUUAAAAUAGGAAAAAGUACAACAAAGAAUCUUUAGACCCUGUAGAUUUUAAUAUGGCAUUUUAAGAAGCAUAUUCAUAACAAGUUCCAGAUUAUGUAUAAAAUAUUACCACAUAAUAAAGAAAUGUAAUACUAUCAGCAAAGCAAGGAGAUGGAUUUUAUACUAGAAGUCACUAAGUAAUAAACAGUCAUCAUCUAAUUUGUUCAAAACAAUUUUUUGAAAACAAGCAGGAAGAAAAAAGAAUAUGACUUUAUUUGUUUUAUCCUCAAAUGACAGUAUCAAUUAAACUUAAAGAGUCAAAGGUUUUAUAAAUCAUACUUCAAUUACCAAUACCAAUUAAUUUUCUUGCUAAUAUAUAUUAACAUAGGUAUUCUAAUAUCCUAUUAUUUGUAAAGGGAAGUAAAUUCUUUUUCAACAUAUAUGGCACUGCAUUUAAAAAUUUAGUUAUA
Molecule: long non-coding RNA, 3470 nt
Organism: Phocoena sinus (vaquita)
Lineage: Eukaryota; Metazoa; Chordata; Mammalia; Artiodactyla; Phocoenidae
Source: Ensembl